GCAGCUCGACUGCACAGAUCAGCACCGCAUUGGUAGAUAACCUAUUGUGUGCUGUCCCCUGUGGCAGUCGGCUGCUAGACUAAAGACGGACUCCAAGAAUGCCGUGACUGAUUCCCAUUGUCAUGAUGUUCAUUUCACCCCGUCGACAUU
Molecule: small nucleolar RNA, 150 nt
Filed under: Drosophila ananassae
Lineage: Eukaryota; Metazoa; Arthropoda; Insecta; Diptera; Drosophilidae
Description: snoRNA:GF26010
Source: RNAcentral